This 389-nucleotide ribosomal RNA is filed under the name Syndiniales sp. RNAcentral's name for it is "partial small subunit ribosomal RNA". It matches the Rfam family "Eukaryotic small subunit ribosomal RNA", at positions 582 to 975 of the family's 1831-position model. Lineage: Eukaryota; Dinophyceae; Syndiniales. The record is from RNAcentral.
AUUCCAGCUCCAAUAGCGUAUAUUAAAGUUGUUGCGGUUAAAAAGCUCGUAGUUGGAUUUCUGUCGAGAACGGCCGGUCCGCACUAUGUGCGUGUAUCUGGUUCGGUCUUGGCAUCCUCUUGGAGAACGUAACUGCGCUUGAUUGCGUGGUGCGGUAUUCAAGACUUUUACUUUGAGGAAAUUAGAGUGUUCACGGCAGGCAAGCGCCUUGAAUAUAUUAGCAUGGAAUAAUAAUAUAGGAUCUCGGUUCUAUUUUGUUGGUUUCUAGAAUCAGGAUAAUGAUUAAUAGGGAUAAUUGGGGGCAUUUGUAUAAACGCGUCAGAGGUGGAAUUCUUGGAUUGCGUUACGACAAACUACUGCGAAAGCAUUUGCCAAGGAUGUUUUCAUCG